RNAcentral lists this ribosomal RNA (466 nucleotides) under uncultured bacterium. RNAcentral's name for it is "bacterial SSU rRNA". It matches the Rfam family "Bacterial small subunit ribosomal RNA", at positions 331 to 793 of the family's 1533-position model. The record is from RNAcentral.
CCAGACUCCUACGGGAGGCAGCAGUGAGGAAUAUUGGUCAAUGGGCGGAAGCCUGAACCAGCCAAGUCGCGUGAGGGAAGAAGGCCCUGCGGGUCGCAGACCUCUUUGGACGGGGAGCAAGGCCGCCGACGUGUCGGCGGAAGGAGAGUACCCGUAGAACAAGCAUCGGCUAACUCCGUGCCAGCAGCCGCGGUAAUACGGAGGAUGCGAGCGUUAUCCGGAUUUACUGGGUAUAAAGGGAGCGUAGACGGCGCGGCAAGUCUGAAGUGAAAGGCAGGGGCUUAACCCCUGAACUGCUUUGGAAACUGCCAUGCUAGAGUGCUGGAGAGGUAAGUGGAAUUCCUAGUGUAGCGGUGAAAUGCGUAGAUAUUAGGAGGAACACCAGUGGCGAAGGCGGCUUACUGGACAGUAACUGACGUUGAGGCUCGAAAGCGUGGGGAGCAAACAGGAUUAGAUACCCGAGUAC